UGGCUCAGAUUGAACGCUGGCGGCAGGCCUAACACAUGCAAGUCGAGCGGUAGCACGGGAGAGCUUGCUCUCUGGGUGACGAGCGGCGGACGGGUGAGUAAUGUCUGGGGAUCUGCCUGAUGGAGGGGGAUAACUACUGGAAACGGUAGCUAAUACCGCAUAACGUCGCAAGACCAAAGAGGGGGACCUUCGGGCCUCUUGCCAUCAGAUGAACCCAGAUGGGAUUAGCUAGUAGGUGGGGUAAUGGCUCACCUAGGCGACGAUCCCUAGCUGGUCUGAGAGGAUGACCAGCCACACUGGAACUGAGACACGGUCCAGACUCCUACGGGAGGCAGCAGUGGGGAAUAUUGCACAAUGGGCGCAAGCCUGAUGCAGCCAUGCCGCGUGUAUGAAGAAGGCCUUCGGGUUGUAAAGUACUUUCAGCGAGGAGGAAGGCAUUAAGGUUAAUAACCUUAGUGAUUGACGUUACUCGCAGAAGAAGCACCGGCUAACUCCGUGCCAGCAGCCGCGGU
Molecule: ribosomal RNA, 512 nt
Filed under: Cedecea neteri
Lineage: Bacteria; Pseudomonadati; Pseudomonadota; Gammaproteobacteria; Enterobacterales; Enterobacteriaceae
Description: bacterial SSU rRNA
Rfam family: Bacterial small subunit ribosomal RNA
Source: RNAcentral